RNAcentral lists this ribosomal RNA (332 nucleotides) under uncultured Pseudomonadota bacterium. Its description in RNAcentral is "bacterial SSU rRNA". It matches the Rfam family "Bacterial small subunit ribosomal RNA", at positions 568 to 898 of the family's 1533-position model. Lineage: Bacteria; Pseudomonadati; Pseudomonadota. The record is from RNAcentral.
UGCGCAGGCGGCUGAGCAAGUCGAGUGUGAAAGCCCCGAGCUUAACUUGGGAAUUGCGCUCGAAACUACUUGGCUGGAGUGUGGCAGAGGAAGGUGGAAUUCCACGUGUAGCGGUGAAAUGCGUAGAGAUGUGGAGGAACACCAAUGGCGAAGGCAGCCUUCUGGGCCAACACUGACGCUCAUGCACGAAAGCGUGGGGAGCAAACAGGAUUAGAUACCCUGGUAGUCCACGCCCUAAACGAUGACGACUAGUUGUUGGAGGAGUUAAAUCCUUUAGUAACGCAGCUAACGCGCGAAGUCGUCCGCCUGGGGAGUACGGUCGCAAGAUUAAA